This 237-nucleotide ribosomal RNA is filed under the name uncultured bacterium. RNAcentral's name for it is "partial 16S ribosomal RNA". It matches the Rfam family "Bacterial small subunit ribosomal RNA", at positions 103 to 334 of the family's 1533-position model. The record is from RNAcentral.
CGGGUGAGUAACACGUGGGUAACCUGCCCCGAUGAUUGGGACAACCCGAGGAAACUCGGGCUAAUACCGAAUGUGCCCUACGGCCUCAAGGUCCAAGGGGAAAGGAAGCUUCGGCCUCCGCAUCGGGAUGGGCCCGCGGCCCAUUAGCUUGUUGGUGAGGUAACGGCUCACCAAGGCGACGAUGGGUAGCUGGUCUGAGAGGACGAUCAGCCACACUGGGACUGAGACACGGCCCAG